UAUUGGGUGAGUUGGUCCACAUUUUUCUGGCAAAAAGAUAAUUGUUUUGCAAAAUAUACUCUUUCUAAUUUUGGUUUAUCAUCAAACAGGAGACCGUGGAUAUCCUUGCACCCCCUGGCUCAUGACUCCUUACCGUAAUCCCAGGCCAGGACCACAGACGGCAUUUAACUCCGCGCUUACUGCCACUAGGCAGCUGGUGGAGCGCACAAUUGGGGUCCUUAAAGGGCGGUUUCGUGUGCUCCACCGCACUGGUGGCGACAUCAUGUAUUCGCCGGAGAUGGCAAGUAAAAUAGUGGUCCUGUGCGCUAUACUACACAAUAUCGCGGUAAGGAGUAGCGUAGAGCUUCCUCAGACAGAGGAAUUGCCUGAUGAGGAGCCAGGGGUUGUUCGACACUUCGGUGGGGGGAGUGUUACACGGAGGGGGAGCCAAGUCAGGGCAAGCAUUGUUGCAGAAUAUUUCAGCUGAAUGAUCACACAAACUGUGGACGACAACAACGGCAGACCUCUCAGCCCCCUUCCCCUUCCCAGUCCCCCUCCCCUUCUCACUCCCCCUCCCCUUCCCAGUCCCCCUCCCCUUCCCAGUCCCCCUCAGCUUCCCAGUCCACCUCAGCUUCCC
Long non-coding RNA from Pseudophryne corroboree (corroboree frog), 616 nucleotides. RefSeq lists it as uncharacterized. The transcript has 3 exons. The record is from RefSeq and is a predicted model, not a curated record. NCBI's taxonomy places the organism in Eukaryota, Metazoa, Chordata, Amphibia, Anura, Myobatrachidae.